Molecule: ribosomal RNA, 381 nt
Filed under: uncultured bacterium
Lineage: Bacteria
Description: bacterial SSU rRNA
Rfam family: Bacterial small subunit ribosomal RNA
Source: RNAcentral
GACGAACGCUGGCGGCGUGCUUAACACAUGCAAGUCGAGCGGGUUCCAACCGGUGGCAACACCGGGGGAAGAUCUAGCGGCGAACGGGUGAGUAACACGUGAGCAACCUGCCCCGAAGACUGGGAUAACACCGGGAAACCGGUGCUAAUACCGGAUGUCGUCAUUAGGCCGCAUGACCUGAUGAUGAAAGGAUUCAUCGCUUCGGGAGGGGCUCGCGGGCUAUCAGCUUGNGGGUGGGGGUAACGGCCUACCAAGGCGACGACGGCUAGCUGGUCUGAGAGGACGACCAGCCACACUGGGACUGAGACACGGCCCAGACUCCUACGGGAGGCAGCAGUGGGGAAUCUUGCGCAAUGGGCGAAAGCCUGACGCAGCGACGCC